GGGCGGUUAGCUCAGUGGUAGAGUGCGUCGUUGACAUCGACGAGGCCAGAAGUUCAAUCCUUCUACCGCCCA
Molecule: transfer RNA, 72 nt
Filed under: Candidatus Sungbacteria bacterium RIFCSPHIGHO2_02_FULL_47_11
Lineage: Bacteria; Candidatus Sungiibacteriota
Description: tRNA-Val
Rfam family: tRNA
About the family: Transfer RNA (tRNA) molecules are approximately 80 nucleotides in length. Their secondary structure includes four short double-helical elements and three loops (D, anti-codon, and T loops). Further hydrogen bonds mediate the characteristic L-shaped molecular structure. tRNAs have two regions of fundamental functional importance: the anti-codon, which is responsible for specific mRNA codon recognition, and the 3' end, to which the tRNAs corresponding amino acid is attached (by aminoacyl-tRNA synthetases). tRNAs cope with the degeneracy of the genetic code in two manners: having more than one tRNA (with a specific anti-codon) for a particular amino acid; and 'wobble' base-pairing, i.e. permitting non-standard base-pairing at the 3rd anti-codon position.
Source: RNAcentral